GGGUUGUGAGGUUAAGCGACUAAGCGUACACGGUGGAUGCCCUGGCAGUCAGAGGCGAUGAAGGACGUGCUAAUCUGCGAAAAGCGUCGGUAAGGUGAUAUGAACCGUUAUAACCGGCGAUGUCCGAAUGGGGAAACCCAGUGUGAUUCGUCACACUAUCGUUAACUGAAUACAUAGGUUAACGAGGCGAACCGGGGGAACUGAAACAUCUAAGUACCCCGAGGAAAAGAAAUCAACCGAGAUUCCCCCAGUAGCGGCGAGCGAACGGGGAGCAGCCCAGAGUCUGAAUCAGCUUGUGUGUUAGUGGAACGGUCUGGAAAGUCCGACGGUACAGGGUGAUAGUCCCGUACACCAAAAUGCACAGGUUGUGAACUCGAAGAGUAGGGCGGGACACGUGGUAUCCUGUCUGAAUAUGGGGGGACCAUCCUCCAAGGCUAAAUACUCCUGACUGACCGAUAGUGAACCAGUACCGUGAGGGAAAGGCGNNAAAAGAACCCCGGCGAGGGGAGUGAAAAAGAACCUGAAACCGUGUACGUACAAGCAGUGGGAGCACCUUCGGGUGUGACUGCGUACCUUUUGUAUAAUGGGUCAG
RNAcentral lists this ribosomal RNA (592 nucleotides) under Klebsiella pneumoniae. Its description in RNAcentral is "bacterial LSU rRNA". It matches the Rfam family "Bacterial large subunit ribosomal RNA", at positions 1 to 623 of the family's 2925-position model. Lineage: Bacteria; Pseudomonadati; Pseudomonadota; Gammaproteobacteria; Enterobacterales; Enterobacteriaceae. The record is from RNAcentral.